Long non-coding RNA from Magnolia sinica, 258 nucleotides. RefSeq lists it as uncharacterized. The transcript has 2 exons. The record is from RefSeq and is a predicted model, not a curated record. NCBI's taxonomy places the organism in Eukaryota, Viridiplantae, Streptophyta, Magnoliopsida, Magnoliales, Magnoliaceae.
ACAGGAUGUUGUUUGAAUUGCUUGUCCUAUCAGGUGCACAGGUUGGGAUGGAUUGGACUUCUAUCUUGAGAAAACGCCAUGAUUUUAGGGUUGCUUUCGCCGGGUUUGAUGCAGAAAUCGUUGCCAACUUCACAGAAAGACAAAUAGCAUCAGUGGCCACAGAUUGCAACCUGGAUUUAAACAAGGUUCGAGGUGCUGUUAACAAUACUAAUAGAAUCCUCCAGGUCAGAUUGUUGAUUGGACCUGAUUUUAUUUAAA